AUUAAACGCUGGCGGCAUGCCUUACACAUGCAAGUCGAACGGUAGCGCGGGGCAACCUGGCGACGAGUGGCGAACGGGUGAGUAAAGCAUCGGAACGUGCCCUGGAAUGGGGGAUAACGUAGCGAAAGUUACGCUAAUACCGCAUAUUCUGUGAGCAGGAAAGCAGGGGAUCGCAAGACCUUGCGUUCUGGGAGCGGCCGAUGUCGGAUUAGCUAGUUGGUGGGUAAAGACCUACCAAGGCGACGAUCCGUAGCGGGUCGUGAGAGGAUGAUCCGCCACACUGGGACUGAGACACGGCCCAGACUCCUACGGGAGGCAGCAGUGGGGGAAGUUUUGGUACAAAUGGGCGGAAGCCUGAUCCAGCCAUGCCGCGUGAGUGAAG
This 382-nucleotide ribosomal RNA is filed under the name uncultured bacterium. Its description in RNAcentral is "bacterial SSU rRNA". It matches the Rfam family "Bacterial small subunit ribosomal RNA", at positions 29 to 410 of the family's 1533-position model. The record is from RNAcentral.